AGCUUUGCGCAGUGGCAGUAUUGUACCCAAUGAGGUUUAUCCAAGGCAUGAUUAUUGCUAACAGAAAGCCAUGGAUGGUCCC
RNAcentral lists this small nuclear RNA (82 nucleotides) under Chlorocebus sabaeus (green monkey). RNAcentral's name for it is "U4 spliceosomal RNA (ENSCSAG00000023944.1)". The stretch from base 1 to 73 matches the Rfam family "U4 spliceosomal RNA". Rfam says of the family: U4 small nuclear RNA (U4 snRNA) is a component of the major U2-dependent spliceosome. Lineage: Eukaryota; Metazoa; Chordata; Mammalia; Primates; Cercopithecidae. The record is from RNAcentral.